Sinocyclocheilus grahami is the source of this 860-nucleotide long non-coding RNA. RefSeq lists it as uncharacterized. The transcript is spliced from 3 exons. Lineage: Eukaryota; Metazoa; Chordata; Actinopteri; Cypriniformes; Cyprinidae. The record is from RefSeq and is a predicted model, not a curated record.
AUUUGCGAAUCUGGCAUUUAAUUCCUGAUUCUAAACAGCUGAUCGAAAACACACGGUCAGGGAAAGUGAUUCACAGAGCCGCAAAGACAAGUCACCAUGACCUGCGCUUCUGGCGCUGUACAUUCAUCUCUCCUGUAUGCUAAACCACAGCCGAGCACAUCUUCAGCAGGACAUGCUCUCAUUUACACCCGACAGAAACUCGAUCUACAGUCCCAUUUCAUGGCAGCCUCUAGAUGGCAGUGGUACAUUUCAGGAUGACACAUCAAUACGCAUGUUUUCUUGAUUGACUAUUGAUGACUAUUUCACCAUCCCAUCGGCCCAUCUGUGGAGGAUCAGUGCUGUAGAGGACCGUCCAGGCCUGCCUUCUUACCAUAUCACCUUCAGAUAAGAAGAGAGAUCUCAGAACGAGCAGACGAGAGGACACAGCGCAGGCGCAGCGUUUAAACAUAGCCACGGAAAAUGUGAAGACGGGACAGACGGAAGAGAAAUAGGAGCGAGAACAAAGGAUAAGUGAAGAUGAAGGUACAAAGGGUGACCGGGGAGAGAGAGAUGAUAAAAUAAGACAAGGCAAUUCCUUUUUUCUCAUGCACCUCUGCAGAAGAGCUCUGAGCGUCUGUAAGGUUCGAGGUAAACAUGUCCUCUGUCUGUGAUGUAUAGGGCUGCGUGUCUGUUGUGUGAGUGUUUACUGUUAACUCUCCACUCCCUCCCUAUUACCGGAGCCCGAGUCCUGGCCCCUGACGGCCCCUCGCUCUGUUUACCCCAUCUACCUCUGUUUACUGCCACACAGAAGAGACAUUUGCCACCGUCACACCAGCUCUCCACCGGGACAGGGCUGAGAAUCGGGUCAGGAUAACAAACAC